GAUGAACGCUGGCGGCGUGCCUAAUACAUGCAAGUCGAGCGAAUGGAUUAAGAGCUUGCUCUUAUGAAGUUAGCGGCGGACGGGUGAGUAACACGUGGGUAACCUGCCCAUAAGACUGGGAUAACUCCGGGAAACCGGGGCUAAUACCGGAUAACAUUUUGAACCGCAUGGUUCGAAAUCGAAAGGCGGCUUCGGCUGUCACUUAUGGAUGGACCCGCGUCGCAUUAGCUAGUUGGUGAGGUAACGGCUCACCAAGGCAACGAUGCGUAGCCGACCUGCGAGGGUGAUCGGCCACACUGGGACUGGGACACGGCCCAGACUCCUACGGGAGGCAGCAGUAGGGAAUCUUCCGCAAUGGACGAAAGUCUGACGGAGCAACGCCGCGUGAGUGAUGAAGGCUUUCGGGUCGUAAAACUCUGUUGUUAGGGAAGAACAAGUGCUAGUUGAAUAAGCUGGCACCUUGACGGUACCUAACCAGAAAGCCACGGCUAACUACGUGCCAGCCGCCGCGGUAA
Molecule: ribosomal RNA, 515 nt
Filed under: uncultured bacterium
Lineage: Bacteria
Description: partial 16S ribosomal RNA
Rfam family: Bacterial small subunit ribosomal RNA
Source: RNAcentral